CCUCUCCUGUUAUACAGCCCCACCCCGCCCCGCCUCCUUUUCCUUUAGACCCUCCCCCUGGUCAGGCUCCGCCCAUGCUCGCUCAGACCCAGGCGGGACAGGGGCCUCAGGGUACCGCCCCGCGCUGCCGGAGGCGGCUGUAGCGUCAGGUGACAGCCCGGAAGCUGCGGAAGCGGAUGAAGCAGAGAGGUGGAGGCCCGGUGGGGCUUCGCGGAGGUAAGGGAGCUGGUCGGCGGCCCCGGAGCUCGUGGCGCAGCGCGUAUGCGGCGCUCAGGCUGACAUCUGAAGGCCGACGCUCUGGGUCGUGCGGCCGGGCCUCGGCGUUUGGAGUCGCGGUGCGGGCCUCCGGCGGGCGUCCAUGGAGAAGGCUGGGCGAGAGAGUGACGGCGCCCCCUGCGGGCCUGUCCUGCACAUCGUGGUGGUCGGCUUUCACCACAAGAAGGGCUGCCAGGUUGAAUUCUCUUAUCCACCGCUAAUUCCAGGAGAUGGACAUGACAGCCACACUUUACCUGAAGAGUGGAAGUACUUGCCUUUCCUUGCCUUACCAGAUGGUGCACAUAACUAUCAGGAAGAUACUGUGUUUUUUCACUUGCCACCCAGAAAUGGAAAUGGAGCCACAGUAUAUGGUAUCUCUUGUUAUCGACAAAUUGAAGCCAAGGCAUUAAAAGUGAGGCAAGCCGACAUCACCAGAGAGACUGUUCAGAAAAGUGUCUGUGUUUUAAGCAAGCUGCCUCUUUAUGGCUUACUUCAAGCAAAACUUCAACUCAUUACACAUGCAUAUUUUGAAGAGAAAGAUUUUUCCCAAAUUUCCAUUCUAAAGGAGCUCUAUGAACAUAUGAACAGUUCCUUGGGAGGGACCUCAUUAGAAGGAUCACAGGUGUAUCUUGGUCUGUCUCCUCGAGAUCUUGUCCUUCAUUUUCGACACAAGGUCUUAAUCCUGUUUAAGCUAAUUCUUCUUGAAAAGAAGGUUCUGUUUUAUAUUUCUCCAGUGAAUAGAUUGGUGGGUGCACUAAUGACUGUGUUAUCCCUUUUUCCAGGCAUGAUUGAGCAUGGCCUCAGUGACUGUUCUCAAUAUAGACCCCGAAAGAGUAUGUCUGAAGAUGCUGGACCUCAGGAAAGUAAUCCCCCUGCAGAUGAUUUUCUUUCUGAGUCUACUUCUGACAUCUUAAGUACCAGCUUGGGAACUGUUCCGAGAAUCAUGACAGUAAACCAUGGAGAAGAUGCUGAUCCCAAGACAGAGAAGCCUUACUGCCAAGUAGAAGGUAACAACAACAAAGGACAUGAACCCAGUGAUACUGGCCGAUAUCUGGAACUUCCCCCUCGUCCAUCUCCAGAGUCUUCAGAAAGUGACUGGGAAACGUUGGAUCCUAGUGUCUUAGAGGAUGCCAGCUUGAAAGAAAGGGAACAGAUGGGGUCAGACCAGACACACAUAUUCCAAAAGGACUCCGUGCCCUCAGACAGUACUCCAAUUACUGUACAGCCUCAAGCUAAUACCAGGCAGGUGGUCCUGAUACCAGGGCUCAUUUCUGGUUUGGAAGAAGACCAAUAUGGCAUGCCUCUAGCCAUCUUUACAAAGGGAUAUCUGUGUUUGCCUUACAUGGCAUUGCAGCAGCAUCAUCUUCUCUCUGAUGUCACUGUUCGAGGAUUUGUGGCUGGAGCUACUAACAUCCUUUUUCGACAACAGAAGCACCUCAGUGAUGCCAUUGUGGAAGUAGAAGAAGCACUGAUUCAGAUCCAUGAUCCAGAACUCAGGAAGCUGCUUAACCCAACGACUGCAGACCUAAGGUUCGCAGAUUACCUGGUGAGGCAUGUGACUGAGAACCGAGAUGAUGUCUUCCUGGAUGGCACAGGCUGGGAGGGAGGUGACGAAUGGAUCCGGGCCCAGUUUGCAGUCUACAUCCACGCUCUGCUGGCUGCUACACUGCAGUUAGAUAAUGAAAAGAUGUUAUCAGACUAUGGAACAACUUUUGUUGCCGCCUGGAAGAAUACUCACAACUACAGGGUAUGGAACAGCAAUAAGCAUCCAGCACUUUCAGAGAUAAAUCCAAACCAUCCUUUUCAAGGCCAGUACUCGGUGUCAGACAUGAAACUCAGAUUCUCACAUUCUGUUCAGAACAGUGAACGUGGCAAAAAAAUUGGCAGUGUCAUGGUCACAACCAGCCGGAAUGUGGUACAAACAGGAAAAGCCGUUGGCCAAUCAGUUGGAGGAGCUUUUUCCAGUGCAAAGACAGCCAUGUCUUCAUGGCUAUCUACUUUCACCACAUCCAGCCCUCAGAGUCUUCCUGAGCCACCCAACGGGAAGCCCUGAGUCCAGCAGCACAAGCUGCUUUGUUUUCUAAGGUGUAAUGCUUCCUCCCCGUCUGCUGCUCCCAGGCUUUCUUCUUCUAUCCAAAGGUCCAUACCCAGGGACCAAGAUGACAAACUGUUUACAUGGAUGGUUGCACUCUAAAUGAAAGUUGCAGGAUGCUGAAUGGAUGAAAUCACAACCAUAGCAGAAUAGCUUUCCAGACUUAACUGCAUGUUGUUUGUGUGAUUUCUGGCCUUCACAACUGGGCAACAGUGCGUUCUUCAUUUGUCAAGAAAGCAGCACAUAGGUGAGCUGAAGGACUCCACACCCAAUUUAGCUUCCUCCUGAUACUACUUAUGGUGGAACCUCAGCAGAAAGAGCCCUCUAUAGCAUCUGGGAAAUUCUGAAGGAGGUUGGUCACGUAAUUUCCUCAUGGACAAGGCCAGGGAAGGAGAAACUGCACUGCAGCAGUCCACUUCUCUACUUGGACUGGUCUUGGCAAUGUAGUACCUCAGCACCACUUUGUAGAUAUGGAUAAAGGGACUUUGUUUUGGUACUCUGGUUGGCUGAUGUCCUCAAAGUCAAAUAGUCUCACUGGCUCCAGUGUUUCCAAACCUGUCCUGGGCAGCCACAAACUCUGAGGAUCUUUUAACUGUAACAGAGUCUCAAUUUUCCCCUAGGAAACUGAUGUUUACAAUCUGUGGCCACUUGAAAUUACUUUUAAGAUCAACUGAGUCCCUCAGGCUUCAUAUAAUGUUCUGCCUUCCUUGUGGAGUAUUUGAGUAUCUUCUGUGUGUCAUGUAUAUUGCAUGAUAGCACUCACUAUCUCUGGCUGAAUAUAGCUUGCUGCCAUAGGCUGCCAGUUGGCAGAGAGUAGAGCAUACUGACUUCCGAGCCAGGGUACUGAACCAACAUAACCUUCCUAGGAGACAGCAAUUGUUCAUCAGGGACAGUUAGUCCCUAAGAGGCCAAGCCAAGACCUAAAGAUUAUGAGUUUUAGCAUGGAGGGAGUUGAAGAUGAACUUGUAAAAGGACCUCAGAGCUAUGCGAGCAACACAAAUGAAGACCAGGGAGCUGUCUUGGAGAAAUCAAAUGUUCAAAGUGGCAACAAGGGUCAGAACCAAAAAAUAAGGCCAAGUCAGCACAAGGAGAGUCCCUUCAGCCUGGUGAAUGUAAACAAUUUGGAAGGUAACAGCUUCCUAGGGGCAGGUAGCAUCUUAGGGAGCUGCUUCAGGAGCCUGAUCACCACAGCCUGUUUAACUGAACUGUGAAACUCAGUGUUUCUCAGCUGGCCAUCUCUAACUCAUCCACUACUCCAGUCUUUUUCAUUGGCCCAAUCUCAGCUUCCUACCAACCAAAUCAAAACAUGUGUCCAAAACACAAUAAACCACAAAACAAAACUCCCACAACUGUUCUUGGUCAAAAUCCAGUCACUGUGAGAACAUGGCUUCUUAGAUUUCACCAGAGGUUAGAUAGUAAGGUGACUAAAGGAAAGACACUGUACGCCACUGUAGGUAUGGGGGCAUCAUAUUGAGGGCCCAAGCAACUGCCCCAGCAACUGUCUCCAGCAGGGCAGAGACCCUAGAGACCUGGCUCUGUCACAAUGCCCAAAGAACCUACUCUGCGAUUCUGCAUGCUUUAUACUGGGGUUAAUUUGCAUGUGUGAAAAGUUCAUCUAUAACAUCUAGAUUCUUCUAGCCAACCUAAUCCAUGAGUUUGUUUUAAACAGAAACUUGUACUUACUCUGGGGAAUAAAGUGAUGAGUGAACAAA
RNA transcript from Mastomys coucha (southern multimammate mouse), 4059 nucleotides. It is a transcript of the gene named AVL9 cell migration associated, with no coding region annotated. The transcript has 18 exons. Lineage: Eukaryota; Metazoa; Chordata; Mammalia; Rodentia; Muridae. The record is from RefSeq and is a predicted model, not a curated record.